AAAGGGAGACCUAAUUCCAGUAGGAGACGAAAAAAAAGUAGUCCCUACCAAGAAUCAAUCCCAAAAGGUCGGAGCGAGGCAAAAUUGGCUUUCAAACUAGGUUCUGGGUUCACACAAGACCUGAAUCAGGAACAAGGGCUAUUAGCUCAGGUGGUUAGAGCGCACCCCUGAUAAGGGUGAGGUCCCUGGUUCGAGUCCAGGAUGGCCCACCUGCACAGGUGGCAAAAACAAGAGAAGCGAGGAAUCAGCACCUUAUCUUACUGACAUAGUAAGAGAGAAUGCUGGCUCUGAGUAAAGAGUCCAGAGGAACCUUGAAAACUGCAUAGAGCUAGGUGAAAAAGCCAAAAAAGAAGACCGCAAG
RNAcentral lists this transfer RNA (361 nucleotides) under uncultured Microcystis sp. RNAcentral's name for it is "partial 16S-23S ribosomal RNA intergenic spacer". The stretch from base 136 to 209 matches the Rfam family "tRNA". Lineage: Bacteria; Bacillati; Cyanobacteriota; Cyanophyceae; Chroococcales; Microcystaceae. The record is from RNAcentral.